GCUCACUCUCUAUCUCCCUCCUUCUCUCCUUCACUGUCCCACUGUUUCUUGCCAUCUAUUUCUCUCUCCCACUUUCACUUGCCUGCUUUUCCUAACUCUCUACUCCUCUCUCCCUGUUUCACUCUCUCCUCCAUAUUUCUCCCCCUUCCUCCCUCCCUUUCCCUGUCACCCUCUUCUUUGCCUUGCCCCCCAUUUCCGUCUUAUGCUGUUUGCUCCUAGCGCCUCCGUCCACUUCUCACUCCAAUAGCAUCUCCCCAUAUUGCCCCGCUGCCUGCCAGAUCCCGCGUGCGUCCCGUGCUGUUUAAGCUCCGCCCCCUCCUGCCCUCCCGUGCUGUUUAAGCUCCGCCCCCCUCCUGCCCUCCUGCCCUCCCUCCCCCUGAUGGUGAUCUCACUCAGCACGCUGUCAGCCACUGUUGUUGGCAGAUCGGAGCCCUGCUGGUGUUUUUCAUGGGCGGAGCCACAGUGAACACUUUCCCCGGAGCAGAGCGCAGGGCCCAUCCAUCAAGCUGCCUCUCAUGCCGUCCCGUCCGGAAUGAGUUGCGACAGAGGACUUAACAGGGUCCAGAAGAUAUGAUUCAAUUACAGCCGCGGAUAAUAUAAAAAGCCAAUUCAAUUACUGUGCUCUGAGUUAUCGUAUUUGACCGCGUGUUUGGUAAAUGCCAUCUGGACUUGAAAAAAACAGGAGUGUUUAUGAAAAGGAAGAGGUGCGGAAAGCAGGGGAGGGAGGACAGCUCGGAAAAAGACGACAGCAGGAAAAGGGCACGGUGACAGGUCGCGUAACACCGCGUCAGGCGCGCCGGGUAAUUGCACUUUAAGCGAGGAGGCGUGCUGCAUUCCUCUGUGUUUGUGACAGUUUUAUUAAGAGCUGUCCACCCGCCCUGGCCCUUAGUGAAGUAAGGGAGUAUGGAUAAGGGAGGGGAGCGCAGCUGAGGGAUGGACUCGGGGCAGGAAUGUCUCUGAUUUAAACUUGGCUGCUUGUCCUUUUUAAAUCAAAUAAAGUGAUGAGUUUGGGAGCUGUGUGUGCUCCAUUAAGCAGAACCAGA
Molecule: long non-coding RNA, 1043 nt
Organism: Paramormyrops kingsleyae
Lineage: Eukaryota; Metazoa; Chordata; Actinopteri; Osteoglossiformes; Mormyridae
Source: RefSeq, a predicted model, not a curated record